This 216-nucleotide long non-coding RNA is filed under the name Lathyrus oleraceus (garden pea). RNAcentral describes it as "Pisum sativum (pea) long non-coding RNA (PSAT_LNC002770)". The record is from RNAcentral. Lineage: Eukaryota; Viridiplantae; Streptophyta; Magnoliopsida; Fabales; Fabaceae.
GAUGUAAGAAAAAAGUCGCAGAAUAGAAUAGAUAGGCAAAGCAGCACUUAGCACUCCAACUAAUGGCCUUAAGACUGUUGCAAUUGGUACAACAGCUUCUCAGGGGAUUCAAUCAAGAAGAGUGGAUUCUGGGCUACGCUAAACCUUUUCCUUUUCUUUUGCUGACCGGAAGGAUUUGAUGUCCAGACUGGAUAAACAUCUAAGAGCUUCUUCUUU